Molecule: ribosomal RNA, 699 nt
Filed under: uncultured Hyphomonas sp.
Lineage: Bacteria; Pseudomonadati; Pseudomonadota; Alphaproteobacteria; Hyphomonadales; Hyphomonadaceae
Description: bacterial SSU rRNA
Rfam family: Bacterial small subunit ribosomal RNA
Source: RNAcentral
AGUGGCAGACGGGUGAGUAACGCGUGGGAACGUACCUUUCGCUACGGAAUAGCUCCGGGAAACUGGUGGUAAUACCGUAUACGCCCUCAGGGGGAAAGAUUUAUCGGCGAAAGAUCGGCCCGCGUUGGAUUAGCUAGUUGGUGAGGUAAUGGCUCACAAAGGCGACGAUCCAUAGCUGGUCUGAGAGGAUGAUCAGCCACACUGGGACUGAGACACGGCCCAGACUCCUACGGGAGGCAGCAGUGGGGAAUCUUGCACAAUGGGCGAAAGCCUGAUGCAGCCAUGCCGCGUGAAUGAUGAAGGCCUUAGGGUUGUAAAAUUCUUUCGUCAGGGAUGAUAAUGACCGUACCUGAAGAAGAAGCCCCGGCUAACUUCGUGCCUGCAGCCGCGGUAAUACGAAGGGGGCUAGCGUUGUUCGGAAUUACUGGGCGUAAAGCGCACGUAGGCGGACUUUUAAGUCAGGUGUGAAAUCCCGGGGCUCAACCUCGGAACUGCAUUUGAAACUGGAAGUCUUGAGACCAGGAGAGGUUAGCGGAAUACCGAGUGUAGAGGUGAAAUUCGUAGAUAUUCGGUGGAACACCAGUGGCGAAGGCGGCUAACUGGACUGGUACUGACGCUGAGGUGCGAAAGUGUGGGGAGCAAACAGGAUUAGAUACCCUGGUAGUCCACACCGUAAACGAUGAGAGCUAGUUGUUGGCA